This 439-nucleotide ribosomal RNA is filed under the name uncultured bacterium. Its description in RNAcentral is "partial 16S ribosomal RNA". It matches the Rfam family "Bacterial small subunit ribosomal RNA", at positions 339 to 795 of the family's 1533-position model. The record is from RNAcentral.
CUACGGGCGGCAGCAGUGGGGAAUUUUGGACAAUGGAGGAAACUCUGAUCCAGGGAUACCGCGUGGGUGAUGAAGAUUUACGGAUUGUAAAGCCCUUUUAGUAGGGAAAAUAAUGAUGGUACCUACAGAAAAAGCAUCAGCUAACUCUGUGCCAGCAGCCGCGGUAAUACAGAGGAUGCGAGUGUUAUUCGGAAUCACUGGGCGUAAAGGGCGCGUAGGCGGUUAUUUAAGUCCGCAAUGAAAUACCGGGGCUCAACUUCGGUGCUGUUGUGGAUACUGUUUAACUAGAGAACGGAAGAGGUGAAUAGAAUUCCUGGUGGAGAGGUGAAAUUCUUAGAUAUCAGGAGGGAUGCCAGAGGCGAAAGCGGUUCACUGGGACGUUUCUGACGCUGAGGCGCGAAAGCGUGGGGAUCAAACAGGAUUAGAUACCCCUGUAGUC